CGUAGGGACCGAGCGUUGUCCGGAUUCAUUGGGCGUAAAGAGCUCGUAGGCGGCCACUCAAGUCGAAUGUGAAACCUCGAGGCUUAACCUCGAGCCUGCAUUCGAUACUGGGCGGCUAGAGUCUGGUAGGGGGAUCUGGAAUUCCUGGUGUAGCGGUGGAAUGCGCAGAUAUCAGGAGGAACACCGGUGGCGAAGGCGGGAUCCUGGGCCAGUACUGACGCUGAGGAGCGAAAGCGUAGGGAGCAAACAGGAUUAGAUACCCUGGUAGUCCACGCCGUAAACGAUGGGCGCUAGGUGUGGGAGGUCAUCGACUCCUUCCGUGCCGCAGCUAACGCAUUAAGCGCCCCGCCUGGGGAGUACGGCCGCAAGGCUA
RNAcentral lists this ribosomal RNA (373 nucleotides) under uncultured organism. RNAcentral's name for it is "bacterial SSU rRNA". It matches the Rfam family "Bacterial small subunit ribosomal RNA", at positions 526 to 896 of the family's 1533-position model. The record is from RNAcentral.